RNAcentral lists this ribosomal RNA (530 nucleotides) under uncultured bacterium. RNAcentral's name for it is "partial 16S ribosomal RNA". It matches the Rfam family "Bacterial small subunit ribosomal RNA", at positions 355 to 902 of the family's 1533-position model. The record is from RNAcentral.
UGGGGAAUAUUGGACAAUGGGCGCAAGCCUGAUCCAGCAAUGCCGCGUGAGUGAUGAAGGCCUUAGGGUUGUAAAGCUCUUUCGCACGCGACGAUGAUGACGGUAGCGUGAGAAGAAGCCCCCGGCUAACUUCGUGCCAGCAGCCGCGGUAAUACGAAGGGGGCUAGCGUUGUUCGGAAUUACUGGGCGUAAAGGGCGCGUAGGCGGCCUGUUUAGUCAGAAGUGAAAGCCCCGGGCUCAACCUGGGAAUAGCUUUUGAUACUGGCAGGCUUGAGUUCCGGAGAGGAUGGUGGAAUUCCCAGUGUAGAGGUGAAAUUCGUAGAUAUUGGGAAGAACACCGGUGGCGAAGGCGGCCAUCUGGACGGACACUGACGCUGAGGCGCGAAAGCGUGGGGAGCAAACAGGAUUAGAUACCCUGUAGUCCACGCCGUAAACGAUGGAAUGCUAGACGUCGGGGUGCAUGNACUUCGGUGUCGCCGCUAACGCAUUAAGCAUUCCGCCUGGGGAGUACGGCCGCAAGGUUAAAACUC